Molecule: ribosomal RNA, 253 nt
Filed under: uncultured bacterium
Lineage: Bacteria
Description: partial 16S ribosomal RNA
Rfam family: Bacterial small subunit ribosomal RNA
Source: RNAcentral
UACGUAGGCAGCGAGCGUUGUUCGGAAUUACUGGGCGUAAAGAGUGUGUAGGCGGUGCUCUAAGUUCGGUGUGAAAUCUCCUGGCUCAACUGGGAGGGUGCGCCGGAAACUGGAGUGCUUGAGCGUGGGAGAGGAAAGCGGAAUUCCUGGUGUAGCGGUGAAAUGCGUAGAUAUCAGGAGGAACACCUGUGGUGUAGACGGCUUUCUGGACCAUAGCUGACGCUGAGACACGAAAGCGUGGGUAGCGAACAGG